RNAcentral lists this ribosomal RNA (301 nucleotides) under uncultured bacterium. Its description in RNAcentral is "partial 16S ribosomal RNA". It matches the Rfam family "Bacterial small subunit ribosomal RNA", at positions 509 to 809 of the family's 1533-position model. The record is from RNAcentral.
CAGCAGCCACGGUAAUACGAAGGGGGCUAGCGUUGUUCGGAUUAACAGGGCGUAAAGGGCGCGUAGGCGGGUUUUUAAGUCAGAGGUGAAAUCCCAAGGCUCAACCUUGGAACUGCCUUUGAUACUGGAAGUCUUGAGUCCGGGAGAGGUGAGUGGAACUGCGAGUGUAGAGGUGAAAUUCGUAGAUAUUCGCAAGAACACCAGUGGCGAAGGCGGCUCACUGGCCCGGUACUGACGCUGAGGCGCGAAAGCGUGGGGAGCAAACAGGAUUAGAUACCCCGGUAGUCCUGUCUCUUAUACA